AGGAUGAACGCUGGCGGCGUGCUUAACACAUGCAAGUCGAACGAUGAAGGCUGGAGCUUGCUCUGGCUGGAUUAGUGGCGAACGGGUGAGUAACACGUGAGUAACCUGCCCCAGACUCUGGGAUAAGCGCUGGAAACGGCGUCUAAUACCGGAUACGAGCUUCCACCGCAUGGUGAGGAGCUGGAAAGAAUUUCGGUCUGGGAUGGACUCGCGGCCUAUCAGCUUGUUGGUGAGGUAAUGGCUCACCAAGGCGACGACGGGUAGCCGGCCUGAGAGGGUGACCGGCCACGACUGGGACUGAGACACGGCCCAGACUCCUACGGGAGCAGCAGUGGGGAAUAUUGCACAAUGGGCGCAAGCCUGAUGCAGCAACGCCGCGUGAGGGACGAAGGCCGUUCGG
RNAcentral lists this ribosomal RNA (400 nucleotides) under uncultured soil bacterium. RNAcentral's name for it is "bacterial SSU rRNA". It matches the Rfam family "Bacterial small subunit ribosomal RNA", at positions 26 to 422 of the family's 1533-position model. The record is from RNAcentral.